GAGUCGGCCGCUUAAGUGACUGAGCCACUGAGGCGCACCCCAAUAAGUCUGUGUUUUUAAACACCACACAGCUCCAUGUGUCUCCUUGUCUUCCAAACCCAGGCAGUACUAGAACGGCUAUGCGGAAGCUCUAGUGGGCUGCGAUAUGAGAACCAGCUCCAAUGUGAAAUUUACAACCACAGAGCACAGGGCACCAAGCAAAUUUUUGCUUUGACAAGAGUUUGGCGGGAAGGCCAACGUCAUCGUCACUCAGGUCAUCUUCUGGUAGUUGCACGGUGGCUCUUUGUUCAUUUGUGCGGUGUAGAAGAAUGUUUGUCAUCCACAGGAGAAAAUGGUUUUGUUGACAUCUGUACUAGCUAUUGUCAACUCGCCUGAAGCUCUGAAUCCUUACUGGUCUUAGACACUUAGUGGCUAAAGAUUCAUGAUAGCGACCAAAGAAAGGUACAGAUUUACUUCAGUUAAAGAAGGCACAGUCUUAUUUUCAGGAACAUUGCAUGAUGGAGGUCCUGGGGAGAAUAUAAAAACACUGAUCUUUUUUGCCAAUUUAUUCAUGUCAUAUAUAAUCUUAUAUGGUCAUAAUGGGUUUGUAACAUUUCCUACAUUUCAUUACCUCUCAAGAACUGGGUUGACUGGGCUUCUGGGAUGGUUCUACCUCGUGUACCUUGGUGGGAGUUGCAGUCAUGUGGUGUCCCAGCUAAGCUGCCAUGUACGAGAUGCUUCACUCAUAGGCCAGGAGCGGAUGCAGGCUGUCGGCUGGGAGUCCAGCUAGACUGUGGACUGCAGUGCCUUCGUGGGGUCUUCUCCUCCAGUCUGGCUUUUGAGGGAGACUGUUUAAAAAGCAGCAUUCUAUGAGUCCCCUACUCUUUUCAGGGAGAAUCUCUUGCUCCUCAAUUUCCAAAGGAGAGAAUAUUUAAAUUCCACUCUCUGGGAAGAGCAUAAUAUUCACUCCUUCUCAUAGAAAUAGAAGUAAUUUGGGGGAAAGAAGUUGGCGGAAAGCCUGACAUCCACUGUUUCCAGACACUGGAGUAGAGUUUCUUUGCCUCAAAGCAAGAAAUGAGUUCCAUGUCCCCUCGCUUCAGUUCCCGGUCACCCUGGACCCAUGCAUCUCCUGCCUGGGGCUUCCUGUGUCCAUACUCUCAGCUGACCAAAGAAGGCCUGUUUCUGGCUGACUCAGCAGAGAGACAAUGCCAGCGUUCGGUUUGGUUUUGUUUGUUUCUGUUUGUUCAUCACCAAGAGUCUACUGAAAAGUGAACAAGACCAAAAUCAAGAUUCCCUAUCAGGGCUCCUGCUGGGACCUGCACACAACCCCUUAAACCAAAUUGACCUUUGCAGCUGAGGGAAUUUCAAAUCUCGGCACUGGGCUUCGGCGUUCCUGUUAGUGUCUGCAUGGCUUCCAUGGAGGACUGUGGGCCUUUCUCUGUAAUUUGUGCUCAGCUGUUGCAGCGAGAUUGUCCCUUUGUAAGCAUCUCAUGAGUAAUCUGAGGUCAUCAGUCAUGUGAGUAUCGCUGACUGAGAGGCCAACCUGGCAGGGGGCACGGGAGAGGGGAGAUUUGGAAAAUACACAGCAGUAUCAGAGAGGAGCUUGAGUUUGUGCGUCAGGGUAGAGGUGCUGGAGAGACAGGGAGGCACAAUCAGGACGGAUGAGACAGGCUAACCGGGCUCAUUUGACCUGGACCAGAGCGCUGACCCUCCCAGAGACACAUGGGACAGAAGAUGACUCCGCACCUCACCUCACUUCACCAGUUGGCCCCCAAGUCUGUCUGCUCCUUUUUUCGAGAUUGAAAUAAAAGAGAAAUUUCCAAACCUC
Callorhinus ursinus (northern fur seal) is the source of this 1807-nucleotide non-coding RNA. Lineage: Eukaryota; Metazoa; Chordata; Mammalia; Carnivora; Otariidae. The record is from RefSeq and is a predicted model, not a curated record.